CGCAUAUCCGAAGGUACGAAUCUGGUACAAUAAAGUUGUAUAGUCAUUAUUACAGGAAGCGGAAAUUUCAUCUAGUCGUUGACAUAAAGAAGAAAAGUCUGAAUCAUCAUUUUUACUUUGUUUCCCAACAAAUAAUGUAAAAGCAAUCUUCUUUCUGAAUUUUUGGCAGGAACGAGACAAAGAAGAUAGUAUUGUAACCCAAACUCUAGGACUUUCAGACACCUUAUGAAUAUUACUGAUCAAAAAAUCUGGAUUCAAUGAUAUUGGAAGUUCCAUGAAUUGAGAAAAUUGCCAUUUACAAAAUGAGCCCACUUGAUUGUCAAUUAAGAUUCGACAUGCAUCCUGAAUCAUUUCAAAGCGAACAGUGUCGUCGGAGAACCGAUACAAAGUUCCACAGCAUUUUAGGAAAUUAAUUACCUUAAUUUUCAAAUUGCUUUUUAAAUUUUCUGAGGCUGACGUACGUUCCAACUGGAUUGGUACCUGUCGUUUCGCUAAAUCAAUGCCAAUCAUAUCUGCAGUAGUCUCAAAAAUAAAUCGUACAAUUUGGUUGAGAUUAUUAGAGCUGCUUUUAUAGCUAUAAAAAAUCUUUUCUAGGUUAGCAAUCCAUUCAGAGCAUGUUGUGUCUCCUAAAGAGCGGAAAAAUUGCAAGCUGCAUAUUGACAAUGCAAUAUCUAAGGGGACCAAUUUUGCCGAUAAUAAAUCACCAAAAGUUGUUGGUAUAAUUCCUUCAUUAAACUCCAAAUCGUUAUCUUUCAAGCAUUCUGCUUUCAGGGUGUUCCAGUCUGGAACACGAGCUUUUGAAUUGCUACAAUAUUCGUACCUAAGGUCGUCAUCAUAAAUAGGGUUAGAACGUAGAACAUUCAAAACAUUUGAUCCAACACUUUUUCCUAUUAAUUCAUCAAUUUCAUCUCCCGUUUGAAAGGUUUGAGUGCUGUCAUAUUGCAAUAAAUUUUGUACUGCUAAUUUUCUUCUUUUUGCAACCGAAUCGUCAAUUGUAGCAGUACUAGAAAGAAGAUCAAUAUUCCAUCUGUAUGUAGAUGAAUUAGAAGAAUCAUUUUUCAAAUACUGUUUUCGCGAUUGGGCUCUUGCCGAAGGCACCAAAGAAGAGAUAUCAGGAAGCUCGUCCAACUCUUCAGAAUCAUCACUAUCAAGUAUGUGGUCAAUUAAUUUUGAAGAAUUAUCUAAAUCAGGAAAUUUUGAAAUGUUAUUAGACGCAUUCAUAGAACUAUACCAGCAAAGACACUUUUGAUGUGCUUUGGUAAAAGGGUGGAUGGAUAUAUAACAAAAAUUAUGAAAUAGUAAAUAGUGGAAAGUA
Schizosaccharomyces pombe (fission yeast) is the source of this 1315-nucleotide non-coding RNA. NCBI's taxonomy places the organism in Eukaryota, Fungi, Ascomycota, Schizosaccharomycetes, Schizosaccharomycetales, Schizosaccharomycetaceae. The record is from the annotation of a GenBank genome assembly.